This 471-nucleotide ribosomal RNA is filed under the name uncultured Pelotomaculum sp. RNAcentral describes it as "bacterial SSU rRNA". It matches the Rfam family "Bacterial small subunit ribosomal RNA", at positions 910 to 1382 of the family's 1533-position model. Lineage: Bacteria; Bacillati; Bacillota; Clostridia; Eubacteriales; Desulfotomaculaceae. The record is from RNAcentral.
UUGACGGGGCCGCACAAGCGGUGGAGCAUGUGGUUAAUUCGACGCAACGCGAAGAACCUUACCAGGGCUUGACAUCCCCUGACCGCGUAUGAAAGUACGUUUUCACCCUCGGGUGACAGGGAGACAGGUGGUGCAUGGUUGUCGUCAGCUCGUGUCGUGAGAUGUUGGGUUAAGUCCCGCAACGAGCGCAACCCCUACGUUUAGUUGCUAACGCGUGAAGGCGAGCACUCUAGACGAACUGCCGUUGACAAAACGGAGGAAGGUGGGAUGACGUCAAAUCAUCAUGCCCCUUAUGUUCUGGGCUACACACGUGCUACAAUGGCCGGUACAGACGGACGCAAAGCCGCGAGGUGGAGCAAAUCCUAAAAAGCCGGUCUCAGUUCGGAUUGCAGGCUGCAAUUCGCCUGCAUGAAGUCGGAAUCGCUAGUAAUCGCAGGUCAGCAUACUGCGGUGAAUACGUUCCCGGGCCUU